This 240-nucleotide ribosomal RNA is filed under the name uncultured Lactobacillus sp. RNAcentral's name for it is "partial 16S ribosomal RNA". It matches the Rfam family "Bacterial small subunit ribosomal RNA", at positions 122 to 355 of the family's 1533-position model. The record is from RNAcentral. Lineage: Bacteria; Bacillati; Bacillota; Bacilli; Lactobacillales; Lactobacillaceae.
UAACCUGCCCAAGAGAUCGGGAUAACACCUGGAAACAGAUGCUAAUACCGGAUAACAACAGAUGAUGCCUAUCAACUGUUUAAAAGNUGGUUCUGCUAUCACUCUUGGAUGGACCUGCGGUGCAUUAGCUAGUUGGUAGGGUAACGGCCUACCAAGGCGAUGAUGCAUAGCCGAGUUGAGAGACUGAUCGGCCACAUUGGGACUGAGACACGGCCCAAACUCCUACGGGAGGCAGCAGCC